Molecule: long non-coding RNA, 141 nt
Organism: Panicum virgatum (switchgrass)
Lineage: Eukaryota; Viridiplantae; Streptophyta; Magnoliopsida; Poales; Poaceae
Exons: 3
Source: RefSeq, a predicted model, not a curated record
CCGGAGGUGGCCUCCAACCAGGGUUCACCUUAUCGACGGUAAAGCGAUUUUCGCCAACUAGCGGUAUCGGUAAACCGGCGGUAAAUCGCCGAAAACCGCUAGAAACCGCUCGAAAUGACAAUUCAAAUUCAAAAAACCGGU